GCGUUGUUCGGGAAUCAUUGGGCGUAAAGAGCGCGUAGGUGGUUUGUUAAGUCUGGUGUGAAAGCCCAGAGCUCAACUCUGGAACUGCAUCAGAAACUGGCAAACUUGAGUGUGGGAGAGGAGAGUGGAAUUCCCAGUGUAGAGGUGAAAUUCGUAGAUAUUGGGAGGAACACCGGUGGCGAAGGCGGCUCUCUGGACCACAACUGACACUGAGGCGCGAAAGCUAGGGGAGCGAACGGGAUUAGAUACCCCGGUAGUCCUAGCCGUAAACGAUGGGCACUAGGUGUGGGGGGUAUUGACCCCUUCCGUGCCGCAGCUAACGCAUUAAGUGCCCCGCCUGGGGAGUACGGUCGCAAGACUAAAACUCAAAGGAAUUGACGGGGGCCCGCACAAGCGGUGGAGCAUGUGGUUUAAUUCGACGCAACGCGAAGAACCUUACCUGGGUUUGACAUCCCUUGACAACCACAGAGAUGUGGCUUUCCUUCGGGACAAGGAGACAGGCGCUGCAUGGCUGUCGUCAGCUCGUGUCGUGAGAUGUUGGGUUAAGUCCCGCAACGAGCGCAACCCAUGCCCUUAGUUGCCAGCGAGUAAUGUCGGGAACUCUAAGGGAACUGCCGGUGACAAACCGGAGGAAGGUGUGGAUGACGUCAAGUCCUCAUGGCCCUUAUGCCCAGGGCUACACACGUGCUACAAUGGCCGAUACAGAGGGUCGCAAUACCGUGAGGUGGAGCCAAUCCCAAAAAGUCGGUCUCAGUUCAGAUUGCAGGCUGCAACCCGCCUGCAUGAAGGUGGAAUCGCUAGUAAUCCCGGAUCAGCAUGCCGGGGUGAAUACGUUCCCGGGCCUUGUACACACCGCCCGUCACACCACGAAAGCCAGUUGUACCAGAAGUCGCUGGGCCAACCCGCAAGGGAGGCAGGUGCCGAAGGUAUGGCCGGUGAUUGGGGUGAAGUCGUAACAAGGUAACC
RNAcentral lists this ribosomal RNA (966 nucleotides) under uncultured bacterium. RNAcentral's name for it is "bacterial SSU rRNA". It matches the Rfam family "Bacterial small subunit ribosomal RNA", at positions 538 to 1501 of the family's 1533-position model. The record is from RNAcentral.